UACUCUUUUUAUUGUGUUCUUGAAAGGACCGUCGUUUGUGCACUUGGAAAUUUUACGACCUUGUUAUAUUUUUUUCGGGAGAAGAAUUUUACCUUUUGGGCCAAACAUUUAUUUUUUUAACCCAAUUUAAAACCCAAUUGUGUUGAGCCCAAAACACAUUUUAUUUCUUUCUGUUUGAGCCAAUUUUGGAGAAGCCCAAAGAUUUUUCUUUUAUUCCACUACACUUUUAAAUCCCACUAUCUAUUCCAUUAUCUCAACAAGAAAUUAUAUACUCUAUUCCACUACCUCCACCACCACAAACAUCACAACGGCCAUUCAUGACUUUGCUUUUAGAGAUUUCCCCACUAAUUCUAAACAAUAUAUAUUCCUCCCACAUCAGUUUCCAACUCCACAUAUUUCACGUUUCACACAUCCAAUUUGGAGAGAAGAAAACCGAGAGGUGAGGGGAGAAAAGAGUGAGGCAGCGGUUGAUGAGAGGAGGAUUUCAAUCCUUUUGAGAGGGGUACGCCGACAGCAAUGGCACAGCGAGGUCUCGGAGUCGAGAGCAACAGCGAAUUUUGCUUACGGACAGCGGUGACCCCACGCGGCGUGCGACGGAGGAUAGGCGAGCGACAGCGUCUCCCAGCGGCGACGGAGCAGCGGCUACAACGGCAUCUCCCGGCAGCGAUGACGCUGAACGAACCCGACGGAUCGAUGGCAAACCUUCUGCACAGCAACUGUCGACGUCUAGCAGCAGCUAACCGACAAGCAGAGGCGCCGGCGUGAGCACCGACGCGAUAUGGAGAAUCUGGACGCGCGACAGCAGCGUCUCCCGGCUCUGAGCAGCAGCAACAAUGUGCAGCAAGGGCUGAUCGUGACAGCGAUGGACUCACGGCUGGAAGGCGGUGACAAAGAGCGACCCCAGCAGCGGCUGCUCGGUGAUGACGGCGACACUGCAAGACCUUCGACUGCACAGCAGCGACGACGCAGCAGCGCCGAGCGUCUGUGGUGGACACGGGUGACGAAUCGGAGUCAGCAGCGGCGACGUCGGCGGCGAACAGGCUGACCAACGGGCAGUAGCCGACGACGACCGAUCUGGACCGUGAGUUGCAGAGUUUACAGUGAUGGAACAAAACGAAUUGAUAGAGAGAUGAGUGAUGGUGGUCGAAAGAGGAAAGGGAGCGACGGCGGAGCAGCAACGUUCAUACAGCAGCGUCUCCCGGCUCUGUGCAGCAGCCAACAACAGCAACAACGUGCAGCAACGGGCCGAACAGCGAUGGCACCGCUCGUCUGCUCGACGAAUUCCGAACAGUGAAACAUCGCAAGUGAAUCGUGAUCGCAAGGGAAAGAAAGUGUUUUCGGAUUAAGCACACGAGGUUGAGCGGUGACGAGCGCGGUGGCUGUUGAGCAUAAAAGUGAAGAAUGUCUAUCAAAU
Salvia splendens (bonfire salvia) is the source of this 1414-nucleotide long non-coding RNA. RefSeq lists it as uncharacterized. Lineage: Eukaryota; Viridiplantae; Streptophyta; Magnoliopsida; Lamiales; Lamiaceae. The transcript is spliced from 3 exons. The record is from RefSeq and is a predicted model, not a curated record.